Molecule: ribosomal RNA, 253 nt
Filed under: uncultured bacterium
Lineage: Bacteria
Description: partial 16S ribosomal RNA
Rfam family: Bacterial small subunit ribosomal RNA
Source: RNAcentral
UACGUAGGUGACAAGCGUUGUCCGGAUUUACUGGGCGUAAAGCGUGCGCAGGCGGCUUUGCAAGACAGAUGUGAAAUCCCCGGGCUUAACCUGGGAACUGCAUUUGUGACUGCAUGGCUGGAGUGCGGCAGAGGGGGAUGGAAUUUCGCGUGUAGCAGUGAAAUGCGUAGAUAUGCGGAGGAACACCGAUGGCGAAGGCAAUCCCCUGGGCCUGCACUGACGCUCAUGCACGAAAGCGUGGGGAGCAAACAGG